Molecule: long non-coding RNA, 253 nt
Filed under: Salvia miltiorrhiza (redroot sage)
Lineage: Eukaryota; Viridiplantae; Streptophyta; Magnoliopsida; Lamiales; Lamiaceae
Description: long non-coding RNA (SMIL_LNC000329)
Source: RNAcentral
GUUAGCAGGCCAAGACAUAUUUGAACUUCCCUUCCCCAUUUUCUCGUAUUAUGUUUUCAACUUCUAUAUAUAUACAUGUUUGACAUUAAUAACUAUAUUCAGCUUAACUGAGACACAACAGUUGGAGACUUCUAGCAGCCAUGCUUCAUUGCAGGUAGUGUGGAGGUUUCCAAAUUCUUGUUCAUGAAGAUGCAUGCAAGAGUAUAUAUAGAGUAAAAUGAGUAAAACCAACCUCAUGUUUAGUGUGACAAAG